RNAcentral lists this ribosomal RNA (508 nucleotides) under uncultured bacterium. RNAcentral's name for it is "partial 16S ribosomal RNA". It matches the Rfam family "Bacterial small subunit ribosomal RNA", at positions 28 to 523 of the family's 1533-position model. The record is from RNAcentral.
GAUGAACGCUAGCUACAGGCUUAACACAUGCAAGUCGAGGGGAAACGAUAUUGGAAGCUUGCUUCCGAUAGGCGUCGACCGGCGCACGGGUGAGUAACGCGUAUCCAACCUGCCCACCACUUGGGGAUAACCUUGCGAAAGUAAGACUAAUACCCAAUGAUAUCUCUAGAAGACAUCUGAAAGAGAUUAAAGAUUUAUCGGUGAUGGCUGGGGGUGCGUCUGAUUAGCUUGUUGGCGGGGUAACGGCCCACCAAGGCGACGAUCAGUAGGGGUUCUGAGAGGCAGUUCCCCCACAUGGGAACUGAGACACAGUCCAAACUCCUACGGGAGGCAGCAGUGAGGAAUAUUAGUCAAUGGACGAGAUUCUGAACCAGCCAAGUAUGGUGCAGGAUGACGGCCCUAUGGGUUGUAAACUGCUUUUAUAAGGGAAUAAAGUGAGCCUCGUGAGGCUUUUUGCAUGUACCUUAUGAAUAAGGACCGGCUAAUUCCGUGCCAGCCGCCGCCGUAA